CCUACGGGUGGCAGCAGUAGGGAAUCUUCCACAAUGGGCGAAAGCCUGAUGGAGCAACGCCGCGUGGGUGAAGAAGGUCUUCGGAUCGUAAAACCCUGUUGUUAGAGAAGAAAGUGCGUGAGAGUAACUGUUCACGUUUCGACGGUAUCGAACCAGAAAGCCACGGCUAACUACGUGCCAGCGGCCGCGGUAAUACGUAGGUGGCAAGCGUUAUCCGGAUUGAUUGGGCGUAAGGGGAACGCAGAAGGUCUUUUAAGUCUGGUGUGAAAGCCUGCGGCUUAACCGGAGUAGUGCAUUGGAAACUGGGAGACUUGAGUACAGAAGAGGAGGGUGGAACUCGAGGUGUAGCGGUGAAAUGCGUAGAUAUAAGGAAGAACACUGGUGGCGAAAGCAGCUCUCUGGUCUGUAACUGACGCUGAGGUUCGAAAGCGUGGGUAGCAAACAGGAUUAGAUACCCCAGUAGUC
This 465-nucleotide ribosomal RNA is filed under the name uncultured bacterium. Its description in RNAcentral is "partial 16S ribosomal RNA". It matches the Rfam family "Bacterial small subunit ribosomal RNA", at positions 338 to 795 of the family's 1533-position model. The record is from RNAcentral.